RNAcentral lists this ribosomal RNA (253 nucleotides) under uncultured bacterium. RNAcentral's name for it is "partial 16S ribosomal RNA". It matches the Rfam family "Bacterial small subunit ribosomal RNA", at positions 524 to 776 of the family's 1533-position model. The record is from RNAcentral.
UACGUAGGUGGCAAGCGUUGUCCGGAAUUACUGGGUGUAAAGCGCGUGUAGGCGGUCGGUCAAGUUUGCGGUGAAAGCGCCCGGCUCAACUGGGCGAUGUCCGCGAAAACUGGUCGACUGGAGGACGGUAGAGGCGAGUGGAAUUCCCGGUGUAGUGGUGAAAUGCGUAGAGAUCGGGAGGAACACCUGUGGCGUAGGCGGCUCUCUGGAACGGUACUGACGCUGAGACGCGAAAGCGUGGGGAGCGAACAGG